AAGAUCAUACUUUCAGGAUCAUUUCUGUAGUAUGUAUCUUCGCCUUCUCCAUACAAUUAUGGAGUCGAUGUAACCAUGAUGAUGAGCCGUGGCUCCUUGUCCUGAGCGUGAGGUUGGCCUAUUUCUCAAAUUCUUGAGAAGUAGUGCUACGAUGAUCGCAGUCUCCUCGGAGGCAGGGAUGAGGAUGCCGGCUGAGUGGU
This is a small nucleolar RNA of Planococcus citri (citrus mealybug), 200 nucleotides long. RefSeq annotates it as small nucleolar RNA U3. Lineage: Eukaryota; Metazoa; Arthropoda; Insecta; Hemiptera; Pseudococcidae. The record is from RefSeq and is a predicted model, not a curated record. The transcript has a single exon.